GGCAAAUCCCGGGGGCCAAAAGCGUGUCUGGACUUUUGAGUUUGAAGGAUCAAGGGCCAAUUCUCACAACCAAACUAAUGUCCUAAGAAGACUUUGGAAACCAUGUUCUUCCGCCCACCCUCCAAAAGAACACCCACUGUAGGAAUGCACGUGGGUCCUCUUGAAAGUUGGAGAUGUUUUAACCAGGGAAGUGCACCUUCAAUCACAUUGAUGUGCCGUCUACUGGCAGGCUUUUGAACUGGUGAAGUGAGCAUUGAUUUAUCUGCAGCUCCACGCUUCACUUCCAGAAUGGGUGAAGAUACACAAUGUGUUGCGAGAGCAAUGAGGAAAGAGAGUAGACAGAAUGGGUGAAGCAAUGAGGACUUGACGAGAUUUUUUUUAGGAUCUUUUCCCAUUAAUGCCCAAGUGCUGGUCGUAGCAAGGAAAAGGUCUGGGAGCGUAAGCUACAAAUGCACGGUGGUUAGAUCAGAUCUCACAGCCAUUAACUGUGAGGUCACAACUGUGCACGAGGUCAUGCUGGGAAAUGUUUGCAUCCAAUAAAUGUCGCUGCCA
Podarcis raffonei (Aeolian wall lizard) is the source of this 552-nucleotide long non-coding RNA. RefSeq lists it as uncharacterized. The record is from RefSeq and is a predicted model, not a curated record. NCBI's taxonomy places the organism in Eukaryota, Metazoa, Chordata, Lepidosauria, Squamata, Lacertidae. The transcript has 3 exons.